Molecule: ribosomal RNA, 1347 nt
Filed under: metagenome
Description: bacterial SSU rRNA
Rfam family: Bacterial small subunit ribosomal RNA
Source: RNAcentral
AUAAGCCCGGGAAACUGGGUCUAAUACCGGAUAUGACACCUCCUCGCAUGGGGUGGGUGUGGAAAGUUUUUCGGUUGGGGAUGGACUCGCGGCCUAUCAGCUUGUUGGUGGGGUAAUGGCCUACCAAGGCGACGACGGGUAGCCGGCCUGAGAGGGCGACCGGCCACACUGGGACUGAGACACGGCCCAGACUCCUACGGGAGGCAGCAGUGGGGAAUAUUGCGCAAUGGGCGAAAGCCUGACGCAGCGACGCCGCGUGGGGGAUGACGGCCUUCGGGUUGUAAACCUCUUUCAGCAGGGACGAAGUUGACGUGUACCUGCAGAAGAAGCGCCGGCUAACUACGUGCCAGCAGCCGCGGUAAUACGUAGGGCGCAAGCGUUGUCCGGAAUUAUUGGGCGUAAAGAGCUCGUAGGUGGCUUGUCACGUCGGGUGUGAAAGCUUGGGGCUUAACUCCAGGUCUGCAUUCGAUACGGGCUGGCUAGAGGUAGGUAGGGGAGAACGGAAUUCCUGGUGUAGCGGUGAAAUGCGCAGAUAUCAGGAGGAACACCGGUGGCGAAGGCGGUUCUCUGGGCCUUACCUGACGCUGAGGAGCGAAAGCGUGGGGAGCGAACGGGAUUAGAUACCCUGGUAGUCCACGCUGUAAACGUUGGGCGCUAGGUGUGGGGACCUUCCACGGUUUCCGCGCCGUAGCUAACGCAUUAAGCGCCCCGCCUGGGGAGUACGGCCGCAAGGCUAAAACUCAAAGGAAUUGACGGGCCCGCACAAGCGGCGGAGCAUGUUGCUUAAUUCGACGCAACGCGAAGAACCUUACCAAGGCUUGACAUUGCCCGGAAACACUCAGAGAUGGGUGCCUCUUCGGAUCGGGUGACAGGUGGUGCAUGGCUGUCGUCAGCUCGUGUCGUGAGAUGUUGGGUUAAGUCCCGCAACGAGCGCAACCCUUGUUCAAUGUUGCCAGCAACAUCCUUCGGGGUGGUUGGGGACUCAUUGGAGACUGCCGGGGUCAACUCGGAGGAAGGUGGGGAUGACGUCAAGUCAUCAUGCCCCUUAUGUCUUGGGCUGCAAACAUGCUACAAUGGCCGGUACAGAGGGCUGCGAUACCGCAAGGUGGAGCGAAUCCCUAAAAGCCGGUCUCAGUUCGGAUUGGGGUCUGCAACUCGACCCCAUGAAGUCGGAGUCGCUAGUAAUCGCAGAUCAGCAACGCUGCGGUGAAUACGUUCCCGGGCCUUGUACACACCGCCCGUCACGUCACGAAAGUCGGCAACACCCGAAGCCCGUGGCCCAACCAGCUUGCUGGGGGGAGCGGUCGAAGGUGGGGCUGGCGAUUGGGACGAAGUCGGAACAAGGUA